GGAGAAGAUUCUGAGGACCUGGAGUUAAUAAUAUCUCUUUUGCAAGAAUACUUUUCUGUGUAAUCUCAAACCUUUCCUACAUACAAGCCCUAGCCAGUAUUCCUCCUUGCUCCAUCUCUGAUUUUCCCUGUGGACUGUUCCAUAACUGGAGUCAUUGCAAACAACCUGGCAUUGGAUGCUUUUGUGCCUCACUGUCUUCUGGAGACUCACCUGGAGCAGGUCCUCAACUACACAGGAAUGAUAUUUUCCAAGGUGUGAGAGCCAGGAGUCCAGAGGUGCCCAGGCUUCAAAUGACUUGUCCAAGGUCACAUCACUGUUAGCACUCUCUGGUUUGGGUCCUGAUCACCUGCCUGUCUACACUUAAUUCCAGUGGAGUGGAGUUGUCCAGCCAGUCCUACACACUUAAUGCCCAGAGUUCCAGCCAUCGACCUUGCCAUCCCCACAGAGAUCCUGGCAUCCCUGAGGCAAUUGUUAGUGUCUGGAAAAUGUGGAUCUGAGAGAACAUGUAAAUACAGAACACUGGCUCUGCUUACUGAGAUGCUUGUUUUCAAAAACCCAGAGGAAGGUUGUAUUUAUAUAUUUAUGUAACAUUCAUGUGCAAUAUUUAAAUUUACAAAAUGUGUAGCAGUGUAACAGAGUGGGCACCAGUUUUUAUUUGGGCAUAUAAUUGUCUUUUCUUUCAUAUUCAUUUAUUCCUUUGAUUUCUAUAAUGCCUUCUCUACUUGGUCUUCUGAGAUCAUG
Long non-coding RNA from Dipodomys ordii (Ord's kangaroo rat), 741 nucleotides. RefSeq lists it as uncharacterized. The transcript has 4 exons. The record is from RefSeq and is a predicted model, not a curated record. Lineage: Eukaryota; Metazoa; Chordata; Mammalia; Rodentia; Heteromyidae.